Molecule: ribosomal RNA, 919 nt
Filed under: Agrocybe chaxingu
Lineage: Eukaryota; Fungi; Basidiomycota; Agaricomycetes; Agaricales; Agrocybaceae
Description: partial large subunit ribosomal RNA
Rfam family: Eukaryotic large subunit ribosomal RNA
Source: RNAcentral
AGUAACUGCGAGUGAAGCGGGAAAAGCUCAAAUUUGAAAUCUGGCGGUCCUUUGCGGCCGUCCGAGUUGUAAUCUAGAGAAGUGCUACCCGCGCUGGACCGUGUACAAGUCUCCUGGAAUGGAGCGUCACAGAGGGUGAGAAUCCCGUCUUUGACACGGACUGCCAGGGCUUAUGUGGUGCGCUCUCGAAGAGUCGAGUUGUUUGGGAAUGCAGCUCUAAAUGGGUGGUAAAUUCCAUCUAAAGCUAAAUACAGGCGAGAGACCGAUAGCGAACAAGUACCGUGAGGGAAAGAUGAAAAGAACUUUGGAAAGAGAGUUAAACAGUACGUGAAAUUGCUGAAAGGGAAACGUUUGAAGUCAGUCGCGUUGGCUGGGGAUCAACCUUGCUCUUGCAGGGCGCACUCUCUGGCUCGACGGGUCAGCAUCAGUUUCGGCCGCUGGAGAAAGGCUAGGGGAAUGUGGCAUCGCUUCGGUGAUGUGUUAUAGCCCUUGGUCGUAUGCAGCGGCUGGGACUGAGGAACUCAGCCUGCCCUUAACUGGGCCGGGUCUUUUUGACCACGCUUAACGGGCUUAGGAUGCUGGCAUAAUGGCUUUAAGCGACCCGUCUUGAAACACGGACCAAGGAGUCUAACAUGCUUGCGAGUGUUUGGGUGGAAAACCCGAGCGCGUAAUGAAAGUGAAAGUUGGGAACCCUGUCGUGGGGUGCACCGACGCCCGGACCAGACCUUCUUGCGACGGCUCCGCGGUAGAGCAGGCAUGUUGGGACCCGAAAGAUGGUGAACUAUGCCUGAAUAGGGUGAAGCCAGAGGAAACUCUGGUGGAGGCUCGUAGCGAUUCUGACGUGCAAAUCGAUCGUCAAAUUUGGGUAUAGGGGCGAAAGACUAAUCGAACCAUCUAGAAGCUGGUUCCUGCCGAGUUU